This 222-nucleotide long non-coding RNA is filed under the name Lathyrus oleraceus (garden pea). RNAcentral describes it as "Pisum sativum (pea) long non-coding RNA (PSAT_LNC035698)". The record is from RNAcentral. Lineage: Eukaryota; Viridiplantae; Streptophyta; Magnoliopsida; Fabales; Fabaceae.
UUCGUUGGUUUUUAUCGGUUCUGGUCGAUGCCCAUUCCUUUAAUAAUUUAUUCGGUUCAACAAUCAGAUCAGAUCUCAUUCCCAAUUUGACUAGCUAGUUCGAUCUGGUUUUUAAACACGGAUCCUAAUAUAGGAGCAUUGUUUAUGUGGUAUGUGCUUCCAUUGCUCCGCGAUUUGUGAAAGCUCAAGAAGGGUGAAGUGAAAAUAUUGUAUGACCCCUCU